Molecule: non-coding RNA, 531 nt
Organism: Procambarus clarkii (red swamp crayfish)
Lineage: Eukaryota; Metazoa; Arthropoda; Malacostraca; Decapoda; Cambaridae
Source: RefSeq, a predicted model, not a curated record
AGAUCAGCGUGUGGAGAGGUGCGGGGUGGGCGGAACAGCAAUGGUGAAGUAUGUUUUUGAUGAAAACAGCAGGGUUGAGGCCAACCAAUGCCACACUGCAGAGUAAUGGAAGAGGCUGUGACCUGCAGUUUCGCAGGUGACACGCUUGAGUACCGAAGACGUGGAUGACGUUGAUACCAUCUUGUGUAGUUACUGUAGGGACACAACCUCCAGCUGUUGAAGGAUCAAGUUUGUCUUCCAUACAAGAACCGACUACGGAAGGCGCACAAGGUACACCAUUGAUGAAGAAGGUAAAGGGAUGGAGGCCGAGGGCAGACUACUGCACCCAUGAGGUCGACACACAUCCCUAGUUACAGCGGGCAGCCGCUGCGUUGGCCCUUCGGGGUUGUGGGUGCUCCGCCGGAACCCCCCCAAAGUGAUAAGGCUGCAGAUAGCUACGAAAUAUUCCCAUGAAUUGUAAAUAGUGUAAUGAAGUUAAUGCAACUUUCAUUUACUACGUAUAGAUGUAGUUAGUAAUUUAUUUAAACGUUA